GGGAAUCAGAAUAUCUUAGGGGAAAAAAAAAGGAAGGAAAAUGAACUUGUGUUUCAGUUGAUGCUUCAUGAUUGAGGAUAACGGGUUUAUAAUAUUUAACCUUCAUGAAAAAAAUGAACAUAAAAGAACUUCAAAACAUGUUGGAUAACAUUCCUAGUCCUUGAGGAUUUGCGAAUUAGUUGCUUUUUACUAUAAGCACUGAUGGGUCAGUCACCUUAAUGUGUCUUGCAAUCCUCCCUUUGUAACCAACUUCAUCCUUGCCCCCCUUUUUUUAAAUAGAAUGCCAAUUCUUCAUACCUGGAAAUUGCAAGUUUUGUUCUCCUUCAUGCUGUUUGCACUCGUAUGUAUUUG
This 351-nucleotide unclassified non-coding RNA is filed under the name Hevea brasiliensis (rubber tree). The record is from RNAcentral. Lineage: Eukaryota; Viridiplantae; Streptophyta; Magnoliopsida; Malpighiales; Euphorbiaceae.